Long non-coding RNA from Thalassophryne amazonica, 128 nucleotides. RefSeq lists it as uncharacterized. The transcript is spliced from 3 exons. Lineage: Eukaryota; Metazoa; Chordata; Actinopteri; Batrachoidiformes; Batrachoididae. The record is from RefSeq and is a predicted model, not a curated record.
AUCUGUACAAAUGGCAGGUUUCUUACCAACAGAAUGAUUCCUUCUUCCUUAGCUGCUCCCUUCCUCCAUCUGAUUCCAGGUGGUGCCACCGCUGAGGUCCUGCCAGCCCCUCUCCACACUCACCCUGU